AAGCACGAAGCCGGCUCCAAGAUAAGAUCUCGCCAAGGGCCGUCGCAGACUACGACGUCGAUAGGCCGCAGGUGCAAGUGUGGCGACGCACUCAGCCGAGCGGUACUAAUUGCCCGAAGU
Molecule: ribosomal RNA, 120 nt
Filed under: Bacteroides sp.
Lineage: Bacteria; Pseudomonadati; Bacteroidota; Bacteroidia; Bacteroidales; Bacteroidaceae
Description: partial 23S ribosomal RNA
Rfam family: Bacterial large subunit ribosomal RNA
Source: RNAcentral